GGUAACUACUGUGAUGCUAGGAGAUGCUGUAAUUAGCCCAAAAGUUCGAUAAAAAAGUGGUACCAAAAUGAAAAGCAAAGAAAAGAAAGGAAAGAGAAAACAACUCGCAACUAAGUUUUAUCAGAAGAAAAUAGAGGCCUGUGAAGUAAAAUCCUGAAUACUGUCCAAGCAGUUGAAGUGGAGAGGGGGAGAGAAACCGCUCCAGAGUGAAGCAGCAAUUUCCCACCACCUGGUGAUGUUCCUGAAGACAUGACACAAGAUAUCCGUAAUGCUGCCACGGCACCAAGGGACUUAAAGGGGCUGUACUAAAAAUACUGAAAAAACAGCAGGCUGGGAUUGCCUCCACACAGCUCUCACAGACUGUUCCCCAAUACGUGAUAUACCUACAGUACGCUUUUUGGCGGCCACAUGCACACGUGGUCUGACCGGAAAUCGAAAAAAAGAACAGAGAAGCUCAGAUUGCAACACACAGAUGAAGCGUGACUUCCUUCUCUGCUUAGGACGCCAUUAUUCCUUUACAAAGCAAAUGUGUCCUUCACAUAGCGAAUAUGUGUUUGUUGCUCUAUUAAUGUUGAGUACAGUCCCUAAUUGUGUUGUCUUUGGCAAACAUUACUACUACUAUUUUCCGUUUGAGUUUGU
Perca flavescens (yellow perch) is the source of this 639-nucleotide long non-coding RNA. RefSeq lists it as uncharacterized. The record is from RefSeq and is a predicted model, not a curated record. Lineage: Eukaryota; Metazoa; Chordata; Actinopteri; Perciformes; Percidae. The transcript has 4 exons.